This 254-nucleotide ribosomal RNA is filed under the name uncultured bacterium. RNAcentral describes it as "partial 16S ribosomal RNA". It matches the Rfam family "Bacterial small subunit ribosomal RNA", at positions 524 to 776 of the family's 1533-position model. The record is from RNAcentral.
UACGAAGGGGGCUAGCGUUGCUCGGAAUCACUGGGCGUAAAGCGCACGUAGGCGGACUCUUAAGUCGGUGGUGAAAUCCUGGAGCUCAACUCCAGAACUGCCUUCGAUACUGGCGAUCUUGAGUCCGGAAGAGGUGAGUGGAACUCCUAGUGUAGAGGUGGAAUUCGUAGAUAUUAGGAAGAACACCAGUGGCGAAGGCGGCUCACUGGUCCGGUACUGACGCUGAGGUGCGAAAGCGUGGGGGAGCAAACAGG